UACGUAGGGGGCGAGCGUUGUCCGGAAUUACUGGGCGUAAAGGGUGCGUAGGCGGCGAUGCAAGUCCAUUGUGAAAAGCCCGGGCUUAACCUGGGAGGUGCAGUGGAAACUGCAUGGCUUGAGUGCAGGAGAGGAAAGUGGAAUUCCUAGUGUAGCGGUGAAAUGCGUAGAUAUUAGGAGGAACACCAGUGGCGAAGGCGGCUUUCUGGACUGUAACUGACGCUGAGGCACGAAAGCGUGGGGAGCAAAC
This 250-nucleotide ribosomal RNA is filed under the name uncultured bacterium. Its description in RNAcentral is "partial 16S ribosomal RNA". It matches the Rfam family "Bacterial small subunit ribosomal RNA", at positions 524 to 773 of the family's 1533-position model. The record is from RNAcentral.